GCUGGUUCAAGGGACGUUCAUGGUGGGCGCGGCGGCUCGUGUGCCGGGGUAGGCUCGUGUGCCGGGGCAGUGGCGAUCUCGCGGACGGAUAGUAGAAAAAAAGGUGAGUCUUUUUGCUGGAAAAAAGAGAAGGUGAGGUUGUAUCUCGUUAGUUGGGUUUCCACUGUUGAUGAAAAUCAUACCUGGCCGAUCUGACGGGGCUGCCUGCAACUUCAGAAUUCGAGCGGAUUGCUGCAUAAUAGUCUUGUUGUAGCCUGGCCGAUCUGUGAAUAUUUGAUUGUAGGUGAAGGAGGGGCGGCCGCCCACUUGACGGUGCUGAUCAGGGCGGCGAGGGAGCCCGGCAGGGGGGCGUCGAUGUAGUGCUGGGCGGUGACGAUCCGAUGUAGGGAUCAAGGUCGCCGUGCAGGGAGGCAUCAAUGCAGUGCAGGGCUGGCGAUGAAAGGCAGGGAGAGGGGCGAGGGACACGAUUAGGUUGAGUUUCCUUUUUUGCGAGUUGGUUAGAUGGUUAGAUUACCGUGAUUUGAGGGGCUGAAGAGGUGGGACGGGGAGUUUCAUAUUUUCAUCUGGUGGAGUACGGUCAGUCUAUGUAAACUGCUAAGCGCACACCAGAUCUCGAAUAAAUCAAUGAUGGUUGUUAGAUGGGGCUGUGCGGGCUUGAUCCUGUGGUGGUGAUAUGGGCGACGAGGCUGUGGACAUUUUGUGGGGUGCACGUAAGAAAGUUUUUGUUUGAUUGUUUAAUAGUAGUGGAGAUAGAAUGGAUGAGCAUUACAAAGUGCAGAUGUUUUGCAAAAUAGAUGAGUCAAAAACUUAGUUUUAGUUUUCCAUAGAAAGCAUUUCGGAGCUACCGAUUUAAACUUGGUGACACCUAAGCUACUUUUGUAGUAUAAACUAGUGGAAUCGAUCAGACCGAGGCACAGUUCGGUGAGUCCGAGAUUGCUAGGGUUUCACUGAGAGUUGAAUUCGGUCACACCGAUUUGCAAGUUUUGGUCAGACUGAAAAGUGCAAGUGUAAUGGCCAAAGCCAAAUUGGUGAGACCGAUUUCCACAACUCGGUCGGUCCGAGAUGAGUUCGACAGAAACCUAACUCUGAAUUUUCGAAUCAAAUCUAGUCUAAAGAAGGUUUUUGCUGGACAAGAUGAUCUCAUACGUGGUAAGAAACAUGGCACUUGCUUUGUGCUAAGAAUCGGAGGAAAGAAUUGCACACAGAUUCGAACUCAUACCCUAGUUCGGUGAUGAGCUUGCUACAACGACAACGGCGGCGUAGAAUUCUGUUGACGGCAACAGAAACUAGCGGCGGGAGGUCAUUGGCGACGAGAGGACGAUCCGGAGACCCGAGACGACAGAGAAGGACACGCGUGGGCGAAAGGGUUUUGGAGGAAUUUCCAAAAUUUGACCCGUCGGUAUAUAUAUCGUGACCUUGUCGGUGUGACCGAGUGGAACAACUCGGUGGCACCGAGAUGCAGAAUUGCAAGUUGUUACUGCAACUCGGUGUGACUAAAUGGUUUUAAUCGAUUGCAUCCAGAUUAAAACUAGAUCAAGGCAAUGAACUCAGUUUGACCAAAAAGAAUGAAUCGGUCAGACCGAAAUGCACACGGAGAUUUUGGAAGUUUAAGUCUAUGAUGAAUCGAUGACUCUGAGUGCUCCUCACACAGAGGGUUCGAAUCUGACUUGAUCAAACUUUGUGAUAUAGCAUGAAUAUAGUUUGAGACGAGAAAAUCAUAGAUAACUAUAGGAAGUUCUUAGGCAUUCUUGUUCAUCCAUUUGGCAAAAGAAAAAGAUCCAAAAAUCAAAGCAACAAAUGGAUGUCCUUAAAUGAGUAAAAUAUGCAAUCAACAUGCUCACACAAUAAAAUGUCAAAUAAAAUAUGUGAGAAAGCAUCCACAAACACUCUAGAAUCUAUCAAACAAUUGGCGAUGACUAGGUCAUCUAUAUAUGAGUAUAUUGACUUAGGAGUCAAAUGAGAACAUUUGAUCAUAGGUCAUAUUCAUCGUUUGAGCAUAAGUGGGGUUACCACUUUUACAUAAAGUAUUAUUGUGUUCACAUCAUUAGAGUUGCUUUAGCUCAAUAUUUAGAGUAAAUCUCCUUCUAGAUGUGAUGUCCCCCCUUAAAAGGGAUAAACUAACCUUGGGUUUUGUCGAUGAUGACUUCAUGUAGAUGUUGAAGAUGUGGAUGCUCAAUGUUGAUGUAGAUCAUUUGGAGCAAUCCAUUGGAGUAAGUUGCACUUUCAAUACCUACACGGGUUAGUUCCACAAGGAACAAGCAAGGAUAUCCAUAGACAUAGAGUGAAGUGCACACAAGAUGAUGUCCAUGAAAGCAUUAGGUUACCUUGUCCCUUGACUUACCAACAAGAGGGUUUGUGAGUCCUUGAACUAGUGCAAGAUGUGAAAGUUGUUUGCACUUGUCCACGCCAAAGUGAUAUGAGUGACGUAUGUUGGCGGAGUCACCCUCAAGAACUUUCUAGUUCUUCUUCUUCAGGAUCCACAUCAACUUGAUGGGAAUCCUUGGAGUUGUAGUCAUACUUGAUGAGGUGGAACUUGAUGUAGUCUUGGAAACCCACUUGACCAAGGCCUUGUGAGCUUCUUCAAAUGCAUCAAUCUCCUCUUGAAUCUUGU
Molecule: long non-coding RNA, 2611 nt
Filed under: Triticum aestivum (bread wheat)
Lineage: Eukaryota; Viridiplantae; Streptophyta; Magnoliopsida; Poales; Poaceae
Description: long non-coding RNA (TAES_LNC025544)
Source: RNAcentral